Molecule: ribosomal RNA, 433 nt
Filed under: uncultured bacterium
Lineage: Bacteria
Description: partial 16S ribosomal RNA
Rfam family: Bacterial small subunit ribosomal RNA
Source: RNAcentral
AACGAACGCUGGCGGCAUGCCUGACACAUGCAAGUCGAACGAGACCUUCGGGUCUAGUGGCGCACGGGUGCGUAACGCGUAGGAACCUGCCACUAGGUUCGGAAUAACUCCCCGAAAGGGGUGCUAAUACCGGAUAAUGUCUUCGGACCAAAGUUGUAUCGCCUUUGGAUGGGCCCGCGUUGGAUUAGCUAGUUGGUAGGGUAAAAGCCUACCAAGGCGACGAUCCAUAGCUGGUCUGAGAGGAUGAUCAGCCACACUGGGACUGAGACACGGCCCAGACUCCUACGGGAGGCAGCAGUGGGGAAUAUUGGACAAUGGGCGAAAGCCUGAUCCAGCAAUGCCGCGUGAGUGAUGAAGGCCUUAGGGUUGUAAAGCUCUUUUACCCGGGAUGAUAAUGACAGUACCGGGAGAAUAAGCUCCGGCUAACUCCGUG